Gallus gallus (chicken) is the source of this 1718-nucleotide long non-coding RNA. RefSeq annotates it as PHD finger protein 7-like. NCBI's taxonomy places the organism in Eukaryota, Metazoa, Chordata, Aves, Galliformes, Phasianidae. The transcript is spliced from 3 exons. The record is from RefSeq and is a predicted model, not a curated record.
UUCCUGGCAGAGCCAGAGCCAAGGCCUGGGGCUCCUUCCUGUUCCUCUGCCCUCCUCUCAGCACUUCUCACCUUGCCCAUCCCUCCCAUCUUCCCCCAGGUCCUUCUGCUGGGAGCACCGCCCGCAGCAGGCAGUAGAGGCAGUGCCGAUGCAGGACACGACCUGCAUCAUCUGCAUGGAGCCCGUGGGUGACAGCAGGUCGUACAGCACCAUGGUGUGCCCAUCCUGCCGGCACGCCUGGUUCCACCGGGCCUGCAUCCAGGGAAUGGCCCUGCGCGCUGGGCUUCGCUGCUUCCAGUGCCCCCUCUGCCGAGACAGAGACACAUUUUUAGGAGAAUUGUUCAGCAUGGGGAUCCGAAUCCCAGACAGGUGGGUGUCUUUCAGCCAGCUCUUCAGAUGUGAGGGCACAAGAGCUGAGUCUGCCCAGGGACUGCCCGAGCAGGCCAGGUCCUUUGCUGGUCCCAUGGGCGUAGGCUUCACCUUCAUGGAGAAGGUGGAAAUGGGGUUUGGCUGGAAGAGCAGGGAUGGUCUGGGUCAGUCUUACUCUGGUGACACUGAGUUUUAACCACAUUCUCUCUCUCAUGUAUCAGAAGUCCAAUGUGGGAGGAGAACAAUGCCUAUGCAUCUCUGGGAGGAAGGCACGGGAGCUGUGAUGCCAGCGUCUGCCGUUACCCACGUGGCAGGGAGCAGGCAGAGGAAGCGGGGUGAGUUGCCUCUGUGUGGGAUCGCAGCCUCAGCACAGGCUGGGGGAGCACAGACUGAGCACCAGAGCUCUGCCAGGCACUCCUUGGCUCAGGUCACUUUGUCCUCAUGGCCACAACCGGUUUGUUUCCCCAGGCCCUGGGAGCUGCUCCUCUGCUGCUCCUGUGCUGCACAAGGCACUCAUCGACUCUGCUCCAACUUGAGUCAGAGCACAACCAGCUGGGAGUGCAACGCCUGUGCUGGAGAGGGCACCGGCCCCAGCACCAACUAGGUUCUUGCCAGACAUAGCGCCACCAGCCAGCAGGAACUGGGGCAAUUCUGAGGCACCACAGCACUGGAGAGAAGCAGCUCCAGCACCACCAGCCAGGCACCACUGACACCAGCACACGGUUCCCAUGUGCCUGAAAACAGUGUCCUGUCCAGCCAGCGCAGGAUGGAGCAGAGGAGAACCAGCCCACGUUUACACCAGGAAGAGAACGCCUGCAAUCAGCCCCGAGGACACCGUGGGAGCUGCCGUAAUGCUACCUCCACUGCUGAGGGCAGCACCCCAAACUCUGCCAGCCAGGGGACAUCAGAGUCCUCGCGGCACUCCCCUGCAGCUGGCUACAACCUCCGGUGCAGACAGGGACUGCGGGCCCGGACACAAAGCCGCUCUCCGUUGCAGCGCCGGGCCCCACGUUCUCCAAGCCAGCCCCAAACACACCGUGGGAGCAGGCAGGAAUCAACCCUAAGUGCCGAGAGCUGCACCCACAGCUACACCAGACCAGGAGCACCAGGGGCCUCAGGGGAUUCCACAGAGGCUGCUGGAAGCCGGUCCAGGCAGCCAGGGUGGGUCCGGACUCGAAGCCUGCUGAGACCCACAGCCAGCCCCGAAGACGCCGCAGGAGCCGGUCCAGGCGGCGAGGGCCAGCCCAGGGGCGAAGCCGCUCCCGGGUACCACGUCGGGCCCGGAACAUCAACAGCCGGCCCCGGUGAUGCUAUAGGAGCAGCUGCGUGCAAGCUCCGCUUGUCCAAAC